GAUGAACGCUGGCGGCGUGCUUAACACAUGCAAGUCGAACGGGAAAUAUUUCAUUGAGACUUCGGUGGAUUUGAUUUAUUUCUAGUGGCGGACGGGUGAGUAACGCGUGGGUAACCUGCCUUAUACAGGGGGAUAACAGUCAGAAAUGGCUGCUAAUACCGCAUAAGCGCACAGAGCUGCAUGGCUCAGUGUGAAAAACUCCGGUGGUAUAAGAUGGACCCGCGUUGGAUUAGCUAGUUGGUGGGGUAACGGCCCACCAAGGCGACGAUCCAUAGCCGGCCGGAGAGGGGGAACGGCGACAUUGGGACUGAGACACGGACCAGACUCCUACGGGAGGCAGCAGUGGGGAAUAUUGCACAAUGGGGGAAACCCUGAUGAAGCGACGCCGCGUGAAGGAAGAAGUAUCUCGGUAUGUAAACUUCUAUGAGCAGGGAAGAUAGUGACGGUACCUGACUAAGAAGCCCCGGCUAACUACGUG
RNAcentral lists this ribosomal RNA (478 nucleotides) under uncultured bacterium. Its description in RNAcentral is "partial 16S ribosomal RNA". It matches the Rfam family "Bacterial small subunit ribosomal RNA", at positions 28 to 507 of the family's 1533-position model. The record is from RNAcentral.